RNAcentral lists this ribosomal RNA (468 nucleotides) under uncultured bacterium. RNAcentral's name for it is "partial 16S ribosomal RNA". It matches the Rfam family "Bacterial small subunit ribosomal RNA", at positions 28 to 507 of the family's 1533-position model. The record is from RNAcentral.
GACGAACGCUGGCGGCGUGCUUAACACAUGCAAGUCGAACGGAAAGGCCCUGCUUUUGUGGGGUGCUCGAGUGGCGAACGGGUGAGUAACACGUGAGUAACCUGCCCUUGACUUUGGGAUAACUUCAGGAAACUGGGGCUAAUACCGGAUAGGAGCUCCUGCUGCAUGGUGGGGGUUGGAAAGUUUCGGCGGUUGGGGAUGGACUCGCGGCUUAUCAGCUUGUUGGUGGGGUAGUGGCUUACCAAGGCUUUGACGGGUAGCCGGCCUGAGAGGGUGACCGGCCACAUUGGGACUGAGAUACGACACAGACUCCUACGGGAGGCAUCAGUGGGGAAUAUUGCACACUGGGCGGAAGCCUGAUGCAGCAACGCAGCGUGCGGGAUGACGGCCUUCGGGUUGUAAACCGAUUUCGCCUGUGACGAAGCGUGAGUGACGGUAAUGGGUAAAGAAGCACCGGCUAACUACGUG